GUAGGGCGCAAGCGUUGUCCGGAAUUAUUGGGCGUAAAGAGCUCGUAGGCGGCUUGUCACGUCGGAUGUGAAAGCCCGAGGCUUAACCUCGGGUCUGCAUUCGAUACGGGCUGGCUAGAGUGUGGUAGGGGAGAUCGGAAUUCCUGGUGUAGCGGUGAAAUGCGCAGAUAUCAGGAGGAACACCGGUGGCGAAGGCGGAUCUCUGGGCCAUUACUGACGCUGAGGAGCGAAAGCGUGGGGAGCGAACAGGAUUAGAUACCCUGGUAGUCCACGCCGUAAACGUUGGGAACUAGGUGUUGGCGACAUUCCACGUCGUCGGUGCCGCAGCUAACGCAUUAAGUUCCCCGCCUGGGGAGUACGGCCGCAAGGCUAAA
This 374-nucleotide ribosomal RNA is filed under the name uncultured bacterium. RNAcentral describes it as "bacterial SSU rRNA". It matches the Rfam family "Bacterial small subunit ribosomal RNA", at positions 527 to 898 of the family's 1533-position model. The record is from RNAcentral.